RNAcentral lists this ribosomal RNA (301 nucleotides) under uncultured bacterium. Its description in RNAcentral is "partial 16S ribosomal RNA". It matches the Rfam family "Bacterial small subunit ribosomal RNA", at positions 509 to 807 of the family's 1533-position model. The record is from RNAcentral.
CAGCCGCCACGGGAAUACGAAGGGUGCAAGCGUUAAUCGGAAUUACUGGGCGUAAAGCGUGCGUAGGCGGUUUGUUAAGUCUGCUGUGAAAUCCCCGGGCUCAACCUGGGAAUGGCAGUGGAUACUGGCAAGCUAGAGUGUGUCAGAGGAUGGUGGAAUUCCCGGUGUAGCGGUGAAAUGCGUAGAGAUCGGGAGGAACAUCAGUGGCGAAGGCGGCCAUCUGGGACAACACUGACGCUGAGGCACGAAAGCUAGGGGAGCAAACAGGAUUAGAUACCCCCGUAGUCCCUGUCUCUUAUAC